GGGGGGGGGGGGGCAGCACUGUUUAAGAGGUUCAGUUUCUCCUUUUAAAAAAAAAAAAAAAAAAAAAAAAGAAAAUCAUUAACAAUAAUAUUCAGAUAAAGUCAAUCAAAAAUAGUUUAUUCAGGAAUCAAAAUGCAAACAGGAAUAAAGCAAAUCAAACGCGAUACAUCAGUGAUCUCACAUACAAGUCUCAGUUGAUGGUGUUCUGAGCUGGCAUCAGUGUAGAUGUUAUUUACUUCUCAGCUGAGCUGAGCUUUCAUGGCAUCAGAGAUGUUGGCUGUUUUCUGAGCCAGCAUGGCACAGAGAUGUUAGUUUCUUUGCUGGCAUCAGUGUAGUUUCUGAGCUGAGCCAAGAAAUUACUAUGUACAACACAGAUAUAAAGCUAGCUUAUGUAAUUUCCUUGACCAAAUUUGGCCUUAUUUCCCUAGCACGAUGCAUGGUGUGAGACAAAGCACAUUAAAAGGUAACAUUUGCAUUUCUUCUUCACUUUACCAAUGUCAGCAAAAACCCAGAUAACAAGAAGUUACAUUUAAGAACAAUAUGAGUUUUGCUCAAUUCUCACAGGCAGCAAAGCGUUAUACCCACGCAUCACAAGACUGGUGAUUGCAAACUGCUGAUGUGCACCAGCUAUGUACAGCUUAAAUUUAAGAGUUUAUUAACCCUGCGUUGAUUCAGAGCUUACAUUAAACACAAGAAAAUCACACAUGUUUACAGACAGUUCCAAUGAUUUCUCACUUCCUUCAUCAUUUAAAUGGGAAGCAUAAGUAACGGGUUGCAUAAUGAAAAGGAACAAAGGCUGAUGAAACAUUAAGAGCUUGUGCCAUUUAACUGGAACAAUGUGUACACUGCCCCACGCAAAAUGCAUGUUUAUCAGAAAAAGCCUACAUGUUCCAAUUGUAUGGUGUGUUAUUAAUGCGUUCUGUGACACUAGCCUAAAGUUAUAGCAUGUCACUUUUAACAAAAGUGAUUUUUAAACUGGUUUUAAUUGGUUUGAUUAUGGUUUGUACAUAGGCUCAAAACAGCUUAUUAAGCAGAAACAAAGGUUUUAUCAUCCCUUCAAGGUCACAGCUGCACUUGCUGAGUUAUGAAAAGCCAGUUACUCCCUACAAGGCCAGGGCAAUACAUAGGCAAGAGUAUAAAAACGUUACACUGGUCCACAGUAAUGGUUAGAUCUGAUGACUAGAGCUGGGAAUGGCAGGCUUUGAAUAAUUCUGUUCUAAUAGCAAUGCUUCAAGUAGUUCCGAAAGAUGGAUUUUAAUGAUGGUUAUGUGUGAUAGAGGGGGAGAGGGUUAAUGCAAGAGACUGGUCUGAGGAAUGUGUUUUCCUGCUGUGUGACUGCAGUCCAUCUUUUUUUUUUUUCUGAAAUCUUUGGAGAAACAGAAUAACAGCACACGUUGCACCCUGCCAUUUGCAGUGCAGCGUUUCCCUCAGCAUGUCUCUUGGUGUAAAGUGCAGGCAGCUGGUGGUACAGUAGUUUGUAGCUGUUGGGGGGUGGGUGGAAUGUUUGUGCAUUUUCAUGAGCCUACUGCACAGGAGUGUUUUUGCUACUUUGAGGAGUUGUUGUGUAAGUCCACUAUAUUGUAUACAAAGUAUGUUUUUUUGUUGAAUAAGUGUGCAUGAAACAUUUCCCUUCAAUGACACUGUAGUAUAUCCAUUCAUUUAAGCCCUAGCCUAUAAAACCAUUACAGUCUUGACUUUCUCAACAAUUGUUUGGUUUUUAUCAGAACCAUUCCCCGUUUCUGUUUUUUUUUUUUUUUUUUUUUAAAUCCAGUGUUUUCUUUUCUUAAUGUAAGUUUUAAUUAGAAUUUCUGUUGGAAUUCAUUUUGGUUUUUUUGUGUUCCUGUGUUCAUUUCAUAAACGUUUUAUUUUCUGUUUGUUUGCUGUAGUGUCCCUGGAGUUCUGGCAGACUGAGCCUGAAGGAUCGCUUAGGAAGUUAUUGGCUGGCGAGAUGUUGAGAUAAAUUGGCAUCUCUGACACUGGAACCACAGAGACCAGCAACCUUUUAAUUCACCCAAAGCACUGGGCAAAUUUACUUUCUAGUGCUUGCAGUAUGGGGGUAGAUAAUCUCUUUAAAUACACUACACUGUUCAGUGAAAAAUCAGCAUCACCAUUGAAUCAGGUGGGCAGCCUAGGGUGUGUGAUCUGUCAAGAUCAUGGCCAGGGUGUCAUCAUACACAUUAUCAUUAGCCGUCAGGCGAGUCUUAAGAAAAGAUUUGUUUACCUAUAAAAUACAUUUUGCACGACCACACUCUUAUGAGUUAUACAGUAGCUCUUGUAUCUCAAAUCAAUGUUUUUCUUGUUUUUUUUUUUUUUCCAUCAUUAUUAUUUUUGUUACAGUAUAUAUUUCAUUUAUUGAUUUUUGUUUACUUUCUUCUGUUUCCUUAAAGACAGACAUGCUUCCUACCAUUUACAAAUCACAAACACAGGAGAGACCGCAUGGACCAAGGAAACGCUGUCCAGGUACUGGAAAUAAGGAAUUGUCCCUGACAAUUUAUGGUGUAAAGGUGUUA
Long non-coding RNA from Acipenser ruthenus (sterlet), 2510 nucleotides. RefSeq lists it as uncharacterized. The transcript is spliced from 2 exons. The record is from RefSeq and is a predicted model, not a curated record. Lineage: Eukaryota; Metazoa; Chordata; Actinopteri; Acipenseriformes; Acipenseridae.